Molecule: ribosomal RNA, 157 nt
Filed under: Helicoma isiola
Lineage: Eukaryota; Fungi; Ascomycota; Dothideomycetes; Tubeufiales; Tubeufiaceae
Description: 5.8S ribosomal RNA
Rfam family: 5.8S ribosomal RNA
About the family: 5.8S ribosomal RNA (5.8S rRNA) is a component of the large subunit of the eukaryotic ribosome. It is transcribed by RNA polymerase I as part of the 45S precursor that also contains 18S and 28S rRNA. Functionally, it is thought that 5.8S rRNA may be involved in ribosome translocation.
Source: RNAcentral
AACUUUCAACAACGGAUCUCUUGGUUCUGGCAUCGAUGAAGAACGCAGCGAAAUGCGAUAAGUAGNGUGAAUUGCAGAAUUCAGUGAAUCAUCGAAUCUUUGAACGCACAUUGCGCCCCUCGGUAUCCCGGGGGGCAUGCCUGUUCGAGCGUCAUUU